RNAcentral lists this ribosomal RNA (253 nucleotides) under uncultured prokaryote. Its description in RNAcentral is "partial 16S ribosomal RNA". It matches the Rfam family "Bacterial small subunit ribosomal RNA", at positions 524 to 776 of the family's 1533-position model. The record is from RNAcentral.
GACAGAGGGUGCGGACGUUGCUCGGAAUCAUUGGGCGUAAAGCGCGUGUAGGCGGCAUGGCACGUCGGGUGUGAAAGCCCGGGGCUCAACCCCGGCAGUGCACCCGAAACGACGAUGCUAGAGUGCUGGAGAGGCGGGUGGAAUUCCCGGUGUAGAGGUGAAAUUCGUAGAUAUCGGGAGGAACACCGGUGGCGAAGGCGACCCGCUGGCCAGCGACUGACGCUGAGACGCGAAAGCGUGGGGAGCAAACAGG